This is a long non-coding RNA of Brassica rapa (field mustard), 5570 nucleotides long. RefSeq lists it as uncharacterized. NCBI's taxonomy places the organism in Eukaryota, Viridiplantae, Streptophyta, Magnoliopsida, Brassicales, Brassicaceae. The record is from RefSeq and is a predicted model, not a curated record.
UAACACGUAAUUUCGGUUUGAGUUGAGUUAUACUGAAACAAAUGUAUAUCGUUUGGGUUCGGUUUUUUCUGUGUCGGUUUGGAUUUUACUGAAGUAAAAUACAAAAAAGAAUAGAAACAUAAGACACAUGUAAGUUAAACAAAAUAUUUCAAGCAGGUUCAAUCAGUACAUUCAUACUUCCAAUUUCUUUAUCAUGAACGUAUCUACUUGUAUGUCUAAGUUCUCUCACACACUCAUUCGAUUGCAACAGAUAAUAGCUACACAAGGUAAACAUAAGAAACAUGUCACUUAAACUUAGUAGAAAUGUUUGCAACAACACACCAAUAACGAUAAUAGAAACAUAAAGUUUUUAAAUGAAAGACAAACUGAAGAUAAGUGAAAGUUUUACUGUGAAACCAAAAAAGAAAUAGAACAAAGCAGAAAAUAACAACAUAGAAACUGAAAGACUUAAACUGGAACCAGCUUGUGGUGAUGGAACUUAGAAGCAAAGACAAAGAGAGGUAGAUCAAUAAUCAAACCAAAUUUUAAGCAAAUAUGUUACAAGUAAGAUGACAUACCUCUUUCUAUUUUUUAUUUCUCUUCAAUUUGCUUAAGGAUUUGUUCAUUUGUAAGCACCAUUGACUCACAAUGAAUGUCUUGCUUCAACCAUUGCUCAGUACACAUCAGUACCUUAACCAUGAAAUGAGUAAGGCAACUCCUAAAUCGGUCUAUGAUCCUUCCACAUGUACUGAAAACACUCUUGGAUGCAACAGAAGAUACAUGCAUUGCAAGGACAUCCUUUGUAAUCUGUGACAGUAUUGGGAACUUGGUACAGUUUCUUUUUCAGAAUGAAAGGACAUCAUACUCUACACCAGCCAUCAAGUCUGGAUUCUCAACUCUUUCUUUUAAGUAUAUAUCCAGUUUCUCCCGCUUCUCUUCCAGUCCAAUCUCUUUUAGCAUCGACUUGUACCUUCGGUCAAUCCUCUUAUAUCAUAUACCAUCAUCAACUAAAUUCGGCGUUAUCAUGGACAGUUCUCGAGAACACUCAGAUGAUUGAGUGUUACUGGAUUUAACUUGAUCGCUUUGCCCACUUGAUGUUCUCUCAUGUCUUUCACUGUACUCUUUAACCAAACUAAGCAACACACUCAUCACAGACUCAUACAUUUCUUUCCCUUUCAAAUUGUCCUCCCCAUAAAGCUCUUCAAAACACAUUCUUGCAAGCACCAUCUUCAAUUAACAUUUUGUUGAUGUUCUUCAGUCCAUCCCAAUACUUGUCAAACUUCCUGAACAUCUCUACUGCCUUUUCCUUCAGUUCUUGAUAUGUGCUUUGGCUCAACCCGAUCAGGUUAGUGGCUAUGAUCACAAUCUAUUUGUAACACUAGUAAGCGUUGAGAGAUGUAGACGCAACCACAACUAGAGUGGAGUUGUAGAAGAUCACUAGAAACCUGCAUAAUAUUUCUAUUGAUUUCCAGUCACUAUACUGAGGAAGUCCUUCCCUCUUUUUCCUUUCUCCACCUUCAAAAAAUGAUCGUUAUAGUGUUUAUCUUCUGCCUCCAUUUUAUCAAACGCAACUUUGAACUUCAGUGUUGUAUUCAACAUCAGAUAAGUGGAGUUUCACCUAGUAUUAGCAUCUAAGGGCAAGCUUCCCAUAGUCAGUCUACCUGGAUCAACUUUCUGCUUAAAUGAUGUUAAACUAUUCCCUGAAACUCUAACAUAGACUAUCGCAUUACGAACUGCAUUCACAUUUUAUUUGCAUCAGCCAUCCCAUCCUUCACAAUCAAGUUAAUGAUGUGUGUAUUACAUUUCAAAUGCAUGGAUUCUCCAUCUAAAACUAAAGCAUCUUGAGACUGUGAAGAGAAUUCACUCUGAAACCUUCUCAUUACGGAUGAAUUCGCAGUAGCAUUGUCGACAGUUUCACAAAACAAUUUACUGAUUCUCCAGUCAGCUAAGACUUCUAAAAGAACUCUAGAGAUUGUAUAACCUUUGUGAUAUCGAUGACAUGUUUGAACCCGAUGAUAAGCUUUUUUAGUCGCCAAGAAGCAUCAAUGUAAUAUGCAAUCACCAUCAUGUAAGUUGCCUCCGUGAACAAUAACAAACACAUUAAGAUCAAUUCAAAAUUUUAUUAUAAUAUCAAUACAUACUCAUUGAAGAUUGAAGAACUUACGGAUUACAUGAGCCACCCAAAUAUCAGUAGUGAUAAAUAUUAUUUGCUUUAAAUCACUUCUUUAUAGCAAUCUCCCUCUGCAAAUACAUCUUCAUAUAUAUAUAUAUAUAUAUAUAUGUGUUUUGGUUAUUUUGAAUUCUAAUUUGGAUUUUGGGUUAAACCAAACCAUACCUGAUAACCAAAGUAUCAGCAUAUCAAAACCAAUCGGUUAUUUUGAUGGAUUCGGUUGGAUUCGGAUUUGGUUUUGGAUAAUAUGCUCAGGUCUAGAUCUUCAUAUCAUAUAUGUAACAUAUCUAAUCUUCACGUAGGGAUAGAAAAAUAAAUCUUCUUUUCGUCACUCAUUUAUUUUCUACUUCUACCCUUUUUCAAAUAUAAUCUCAAAAUAAACUACCAAUACUAUUUUAUAAAAAGAAGUACAUGUGUUAAAAAAAGAGAGUACAGUAGUAAAAUUAAUUAAAAGCCAAGAAAAGAAUAGAGAUAAAGACAAAUAACGAAAGCUCUCAAAGCUCUGUCUGGACGACGGCCGACCCAACAUCGCUUAGUGGCAGGCAGACACUAACAUCUGCAACUAUGAACCUUUAAAGACGUUUAUACCAUUUUGCUGUUCCAUGUCAUUCUCUUGCUUCUUUUUAAAAUCAGAUUACUUUAAAAUCUCAAAAUAAAUUAAAGAUUUCUAUUCCGUGACGAGAUUAACUUAUUUAUGAUAUUCUCGGUCCUUUCAAGUUUCAAUCUCUCAUGUAAUAUCACAAUCUCAGCUGAUGAAAAAAAAAUCUAAUUAGGCUAUAGGUGUGUUAAAAAAAAAAAUAGGCUAUAGGUAAUAGCUGUUUCGAUAAAUGGUACCAGAUACACUGUGAAGAAGAGCAGAGAAUGAACCCCGAAAUGGAAGCUUCUGAAAAAUGUUUAUGCGUUCAGUGGCAUUAGAAAGGGAAGUUGCACAUCGUCUUUCUUCUUCUCUCUUGUCUCAGUCUUCUUUUAUUUACUUGUUUUUGUUUUUAUUUUUAAAUGUAUAUGAGCAAUGGUAAAUUAGGGUUCUAGGAUCUCGUAAAGUUUAUAAAAAUGUUAGAAAAAAGAUGUUGCACAAAAAUAGAUUUUUAUGUUUGAUAAAUUUUUAUUUUUAAUAACUGUAGACUAACUUCCACAAAACUAAGUAAACUUAACGAAUUACUAUUAAUUUAAGGGUAAAUCUUUAAAAUAGCACAUUUCUAAGUUUAUGUCAUAAAAAUAGCCUCAAAAACUAAAAUGAUCAAAAUAGCAUUUUAUCUUUUGAAAAAUUUAAAUUUUUUUAUUUUUCAAAAUUUGAAAUCUUAUCCCCAGAACCCCACUCCCCAACUCUAAACCCUAAAACCUAAACCCUAAAACCUAAAUUCUAAACUCUAAACCCUAAACCUUAAACUCCACCCCUUAACUUUAAACUCUAAUGUCUAAAUUAAUUUACCAUUGGGGUAUAAGUGUAUAUUUAUCUCUUUUGAUAAAAUAUUAAGUGUUAUUUUGAUCAUUUUUAUUCUUAGAGGUUAUAUUUGUGACAAAAAAAAUUUUAGUGCUAUUCCAGUCAUUUUCUCUUAAUUUAACUUUAUUGAAAAUAGAUAAUAUAUAGAAGAUGUAUUUAUAAUAUAAAUUUAAUAUUUUAAAUAUGUGUUAGGAAAUAAAAAAUAAAAAAUAGUAGUACUAUAUUUUUGUGGAACAAAGGUUUAAUAAAUUUAGAAGAAAUUAGGGUAUGGGUGGUUUCUUCGCUACCACCCGCAAACUCAGUUUUUGCGGUUUGUAGCACUUGUUGGCGUUUUGCAACAAUCACUCAAACCGUUCUAAACCUCAUAAAUUCAAAAGUUUGUUCUAGUUAGCGUUUGUGGUUGCGGGAGGAUAAUUUUUUUUAAACAAUAUAAAUAUAAAAAUAAAAAUAUUCAAUAAAAUUUUUAAAUUAGAAUUAUAAAAAUACUAAAGUAUAUCUAUUAUAUUUUAAUUAAUAUUAUAAAUUUUUAAAAAUAAAAAUAUUUUCUAUAAUUUUAAAAAUUUUAAAACUAUAAAUUACUAAAUAUAAUUUUUAGAUUUUGAUAUUUUUAUAAUUAUAUAAAAUGUAAAUAUUGUUAAUUUAUUAUAUUACUGAUGUUGUAUUUGAUAGUUAACCAGUCAUAAGUAUUUUGUAAACGCACUAAUUUUUAAUCACAGAACUAGUCGUACAAAUAUUUUAAAAUCGCUAAAAAUCGUUACUGCAAUCGUAAUCGAUGCGUUUGAAACAGUCCGACCUUUAUACAAGAACUGGGGAGAGUAUUAUCAUAGUAGGUAUAUUAUGGGAGACGUUGAACAUUUUGAAGAAUGAGUUACAACGGCGGCUAUAGCCGUCUCAUGCAGAAAUAUUUAUAAUAGAUUUUUAUGUGAUGCGUGCCAUGAAUUGAGGGAUGCUUUCUUCAACUAUUUCUUCUCUUCUAAUUAUUACUCCUUUCAAUAUUUGCUUUAACGAGAUUAGUUAGGUAUGUAAAUAAAUAGAAAACGCAACCACUUUUUCUUUAAUUGAGCCAAUAUCUUAAAUAUUCUACUAAUAAAUACAUAAACACUCUUUCUUAAAAUAUAGCACUACAAGAAGAUGUACCACUUGUUUAAGAAAGAAUCAAUCCAGCUCGAAAGCAUAUCAAAUUGAUUCUUAUUUCUUUACCAUUUAAACUUAGGUAACGACAAAACUAAGUUAGCUAAUAUGUAUGCAUUUUAUGUCUCAUUAAACUUAAAAGUAGGAUUUUUGAUAAACCAACAUCAAAACUUAUCUUUGUGUACAACCUUCGUAGAAAUUUGCAGACUAAACAGUCUUCAAUGAUCAUAGAAAAGGUUAAUAACCCUGCAAAGCAUCACCACUUAAGUGGUACAUAAUGAUUCUGAGAAGAAUCAGAAAAGGAAUACUCAAUACUAAAACGAAUAUUUUACGGUUCCACAAACGCAGUGAAGAGGAAUCUUGACCAGGAUGAACGCUAAAUAUCUUUACGGGCUCCAUUGAUCUUUUGAUCUUUCUACGUUUAAUCGAGUGUUAUGUUGAAUGCAAACUCCUCUGUUAUUUAUUAGAACCACAUGCUUAUAUGUGUCACGCCAUCUCAACUAAAAAGUAUGCAUAUAGUUUCCAGUAUACUGUUAAUCAUAUUCAGAAAAGUAGCAACGCUUUUAUAAAUUCCUAACAACUACCGAAAGAAAAAACAAGAAUGCUCAUUAAAAUUAAGAAAACAGAAACUUUUCCAAAGCUACAUCUUCUUCCUUCCUUCAAGAGCUUCUUUCUCCAAAUUCAUUUAGAAGCUUAUCUAAAGGUGCUAUUGAUGUAAUUUUGUGGGUAUUCAACAAAAUGGGCAUUACUCUUCUCUAAUUCCAUAAUCUCCCAAAAGAUUUAAAGAGGGUCCUUGUCUUUUUUUUCUUUUCAUACUUGGUAGUAUCUCAUCAUAGCCCCAAGAGAAUG